AAAUAGAAAACAAAUUAUUGUAAUUAGUUUCGACCUAAUCUUUGGUGUUGGCCCACCUCUAUUUG
RNAcentral lists this transfer RNA (65 nucleotides) under Dryocoetes villosus. Its description in RNAcentral is "tRNA-Arg". Lineage: Eukaryota; Metazoa; Arthropoda; Insecta; Coleoptera; Curculionidae. The record is from RNAcentral.